AAAGUAGAUCAGGCGAUCGCAGGAUUUAAAAAUCUUGAGGAAAGUCCGAACACCAUAGGGCAGGACGCUCCAUAACGUGGAGUCGCGGUAACGUGAAGGAAAGUGCAACAGAGAACAGACCGCCAGCAAUUUUAUUUUUUUAUGAGACUGUUAAUUGUCAAAUUUAUUAUUAUGAUAAUUAACACCAUAGAUAUAGUAAAUAUAGCUGGUAAGGGUGAAACGGUGCGGUAAGAGCGCACCAGUUUUUCAGGUGACUGAAAAAGCUUGGUAAACCCCGUCCGGUGCAAGACCAAAUAGGGAAGUGCUUGAGGGCU
RNAcentral lists this RNase P RNA (314 nucleotides) under Desulfamplus sp. RNAcentral describes it as "partial RNase P RNA component class A". It matches the Rfam family "Bacterial RNase P class A", at positions 1 to 252 of the family's 367-position model. From Rfam's summary of the family: Ribonuclease P (RNase P) is a ubiquitous endoribonuclease, found in archaea, bacteria and eukarya as well as chloroplasts and mitochondria. Its best characterised activity is the generation of mature 5'-ends of tRNAs by cleaving the 5'-leader elements of precursor-tRNAs. Lineage: Bacteria; Pseudomonadati; Thermodesulfobacteriota; Desulfobacteria; Desulfobacterales; Desulfobacteraceae. The record is from RNAcentral.